RNAcentral lists this ribosomal RNA (377 nucleotides) under uncultured eukaryote. Its description in RNAcentral is "partial 18S ribosomal RNA". It matches the Rfam family "Eukaryotic small subunit ribosomal RNA", at positions 592 to 976 of the family's 1831-position model. The record is from RNAcentral.
CAAUAGCGUAUAUUUAAGUUGCUGCAGUUAAAAAGCUCGUAGUUGGAUUUCGGGUGGGAAUGGCCGGUCCGCCGUUUCGGUGUGCACUUGCUACGCCCACCUCGCUGCCGGGGACGUGCUCUUGAGUUCACGCUCGGGACACGGAGUCGGCGAGGUUACUUUGAGUAAAUUAGAGUGUUCAAAGCAGGCCUACGCUCUGAAUACAUUAGCAUGGAAUAACACGAUAGGACUCUGGCCUAUCUUGUUGGUCUGUAGGACCGGAGUAAUGAUUAAGAGGGACAGUCGGGGGCAUUCGUAUUUCAUUGUCAGAGGUGAAAUUCUUGGAUUUAUGAAAGACGAACUACUGCGAAAGCAUUUGCCAAGGAUGUUUUCAUUAA